AAUUCCAUUCCAGCCAGUACAAUGAGCCUGUCCUCCUAUAGCUCCCGCCAGCCUCCCCUGGUUUGAGCAUAGAAAUAGAAUGGGUGGUACAAUAUUGACAUGAAGAACACACACCCAAUAUGAACUUAGGUGUUCACUAACAUAAUAUUUCUAUGAACUAGUAUGAAAGUAGUAUGACACAGAAAUGCAAUCAGGAGUAAAGUCGGGGGCUUUCUUUUCCACCCCAGUUUAAUAGAUGGUAAAUCAAAUGUUCCAAAUGUUGCUAAAUCAGAGAUGUUGAAUUAGUAUUAAUUCAGUCUUAUCACUCAUCUUUCAGGUGAAGCAGGCAGCCUCCACAGACAUGGGUAACUACAGAAAAACAUAGCAGUAAAAUAUCCAGUUGACUGCAUUUAUGAGUGAACACAUAGGACUGGGACCAUAUGUCCUCUGCAUGAUUUACAUGUUAGAUUGGAUAGUCAGGUCUCCCCCAGUUAUCCUUGGCAUGCAGUGCAGGGUGGUACCCAAGUGUAUCCUGUCACGAGGCCUGGCAUCCUGCCGCUAUUCCAACUUCUUCUCAGCCAAGUCCCACCACCAUCGGCCACACCCAGAGACAAGGCCAUGCAGCCCGGGUCUCCAUACGCUACUACUGUACAUGCCAGAGGCCACAACCUCCAACACAAAGGUCCUGGAGGUCCGAGGGAGGAGCCCAGAAAGAGAAUACACAACAGGUGUAUCUGUAUCAAGCUCAACACCUGUGAGUGAGCAGGACCAGAGAGGACCUCCAGCAGCCUUUGAGAACCCACUGAGUUAACCUGGGGCAGAUGGCAACUCAUUCAUGCCGGACCUGAGGCACAUAAGUUACUGUCCUCUCCACAACAGCCAUAUGGACUUUUUAGUGUGUCUUUUUAUGCUGUACAGAGUAUAUGUUGGUAUACACAAUAUAUCACAGUACAUAUACAACAGAUGUGUAUGUUUUUAUUUUUUUCUAUAUCUAGGAAUGACUCCAGAUACAUAUCUCCCGCUGUUGUCCUGCCCCGGUUAUAACCCCUUUUUCCUCCCUCUCUUCUCUGUAGCCAUGACUGUCCAUGGGGGGACCAGACAGCGGCUUAGAUUAGAGGCAGGGCCCCUCAGAGAGAGCCGCUGGGGGGGAGGGGAGCAGGCAGGCGUGUGUCUGGUGGAGAUGCAGUAGCAGCGAGUCUGAACAACAACCACAGCAGACCUUGAAGAGGAAAUGGGCGUUUUACCACAGAUGUCCUCAACCCUCAAAGUGAGAGUCUACAUAGGCUCCAGAAACUCAGCCUGGCCAAGACCUCCAGGUUCCACUCCAAUGAGAGAGGGGCCGAAGCAGAUCUGGGGUAGAGGAUGGUCACCAGACUGUCAGGGUCUGCCCCUCCUCGCUAUAAAACACAUUUUGAGCUAAGAACCAGGCAGGGAAACAUAUGGGCAAAUAUGACAGACUGCUGAUAUGAACCCUUGAAGAUGGAGGGAGACUAGAGGGAGUUUCUGCAACUAUUUUGACCAUGGGACAAUAAAGGUCUUUUCACACUGCAUUGUUCUUAGCCCCGGGCUAGCUUAGCCCCAGGCUUGACUGGCCCUGAGAUAGCUUAGCCUGUGUUUCAGCAUUUGUUAGCCCUGGGCUAAGGAUUCACACUUGUAAUCCAAAGCCGUAGUUAACGGACAAAGACAUUAUAAGCAUUAUAAGCAAUUAACACGCAACCAAAGUUAUAAGCAAUUAAACAUCUAUUAACAGUACUUCCUUUUGCUUCUACUUGCCUUGCAUUUGAUUUCCAACAGUAUAUCUGCCUAUCCGCCAUGGGAAACAAUGUUUCACUUUUGAAAUUCGAUCUUACCCCUGUACAGAGAAUGAUGUGCACAAACGAGACAUCAACAUUCUAAUCCUAGAAAAAACACGCAACAAUAUUAUUAGCAUGGAUAUAUCCAAUUAAAUGUGAGCUCCUGCAAGUCAAACACUGCUCUUAGUCCUGGUCUAAGGUGCAGUGUGAAUGUGCCUUAACAUGUACAGCACAUUGCCUUUCAGAUGGCUAUAGAAAUUACAUUUAUUUUUUGUCUUGAUUGUGUGCCUUUCUUACUGAGUCUUCAUGUCAUGGAAACCUAUUUUAACUUUAUAAUAUUUUGUAUACAUUUCAGUGUCAAUUACUUAUUUUCCGCUUAUUGAUUGAAGGCAUAAUCAGAUUGAGUCACUAUCUAUGCAGUAAAUUAUCUGUUAGAAAACUA
Long non-coding RNA from Oncorhynchus masou masou (cherry salmon), 2214 nucleotides. RefSeq lists it as uncharacterized. The transcript has 2 exons. NCBI's taxonomy places the organism in Eukaryota, Metazoa, Chordata, Actinopteri, Salmoniformes, Salmonidae. The record is from RefSeq and is a predicted model, not a curated record.